RNAcentral lists this ribosomal RNA (398 nucleotides) under Anaplasma marginale. Its description in RNAcentral is "bacterial SSU rRNA". It matches the Rfam family "Bacterial small subunit ribosomal RNA", at positions 1126 to 1524 of the family's 1533-position model. Lineage: Bacteria; Pseudomonadati; Pseudomonadota; Alphaproteobacteria; Rickettsiales; Anaplasmataceae. The record is from RNAcentral.
UAAUGCCGGGCACUUUAAGGAAACUGCCAGUGAUAAACUGGAGGAAGGUGGGGAUGAUGUCAAGUCAGCACGGCCCUUAUGGGGUGGGCUACACACGUGCUACAAUGGCGACUACAAUAGGUUGCAACGUCGCAAGGCUGAGCUAAUCCGUAAAAGUCGUCUCAGUUCGGAUUGUCCUCUGUAACUCGAGGGCAUGAAGUCGGAAUCGCUAGUAAUCGUGGAUCAGCAUGCCACGGUGAAUACGUUCUCGGGUCUUGUACACACUGCCCGUCACGCCAUGGGAAUUGGCUUAACUCGAAGCUGGUGCGCCAACCGUAAGGAGGCAGCCAUUUAAGGUUGGGUCGGUGACUGGGGUGAAGUCGUAACAAGGUAGCUGUAGGUGAACCUGCGGCUGGAUC